AGCCAUGAUGUGGGCAAGAACUUAGAAAGUCCUUAAACCUCUCCCAACAUUUGAAGAAAUUUUCUUCCUCUUUCUGUGAAAAGCUCAUGAUGGUCUUCUAAGAAU
This is a small nucleolar RNA of Magnolia sinica, 105 nucleotides long. Lineage: Eukaryota; Viridiplantae; Streptophyta; Magnoliopsida; Magnoliales; Magnoliaceae. The record is from RefSeq and is a predicted model, not a curated record.